RNAcentral lists this ribosomal RNA (497 nucleotides) under uncultured bacterium. Its description in RNAcentral is "partial 16S ribosomal RNA". It matches the Rfam family "Bacterial small subunit ribosomal RNA", at positions 28 to 507 of the family's 1533-position model. The record is from RNAcentral.
GAUGAACGCUGGCGGCGUGCCGAAUAAAGGAAAGUAGAGCGAAAGGAUGAGAAGCUUGUUUAUAUGAUGUUAGCGGUGGAUGGGUGAGUAAUACGUGGAUAAUUUAUCUAUAAGACUGGGAUAACUUCGGGAAACCGGAGCUAAUACCGGAUAAUAUUUUGAACCGCAUGGUUCAAAAGUGAAAGACGGUCUUGCUGUCACUUAUAGAUGGAUCCGCGCUGCAUUAGCUAGUUGGUAAGGUAACGGCUUACCAAGGCAACGAUGCAUAGCCGACCUGAGAGGGUGAUCGGCCACACUGGAACUGAGACACGGUCCAGACUCCUACGGGAGGCAGCAGUAGGGAAUCUUCCGCAAUGGGCGAAAGCCUGACGGAGCAACGCCGCGUGAGUGAUGAAGGUCUUCGGAUCGUAAAACUCUGUUAUUAGGGAAGAACAUAUGUGUAAGUAACUGUGCACAUCUUGACGGUACCUAAUCAGAAAGCCACGGCUAACUACGUA